Molecule: ribosomal RNA, 504 nt
Filed under: uncultured bacterium
Lineage: Bacteria
Description: partial 16S ribosomal RNA
Rfam family: Bacterial small subunit ribosomal RNA
Source: RNAcentral
AUUGAACGCUGGCGGCAGGCCUAACACAUGCAAGUCGAGCGGUAACACAGGGAGCUUGCUCCUGGGUGACGAGCGGCGGACGGGUGAGUAAUGUCUGGGAAACUGCCUGAUGGAGGGGGAUAACUACUGGAAACGGUAGCUAAUACCGCAUAACGUCGCAAGACCAAAGAGGGGGACCUUCGGGCCUCUUGCCAUCAGAUGUGCCCAGAUGGGAUUAGCUAGUAGGUGGGGUAACGGCUCACCUAGGCAACGAUCCCUAGCUGGUCUGAGAGGAUGACCAGCCAAACUGGAACUGAGACACGGUCCAGACUCCUACGGGAGGCAGCAGUGGGGAAUAUUGCACAAUGGGCGCAAGCCUGAUGCAGCCAUGCCGCGUGUAUGAAGAAGGCCUUCGGGUUGUAAAGUACUUACAGCGGGGAGGAAGGUGUUGAGGUUAAUAACCUCAGCAAUUGACGUUACCCGCAGAAGAAGCACCGGCUAACUCCGUGCCAGCCGCCGCUGUAA